Molecule: ribosomal RNA, 216 nt
Filed under: Glomeromycotina sp.
Lineage: Eukaryota; Fungi; Glomeromycota
Description: partial small subunit ribosomal RNA
Rfam family: Eukaryotic small subunit ribosomal RNA (bases 40-216)
Source: RNAcentral
GGGUCAGUAGGUUGGUCGUGCCACCGGUACGUACUGGUCUCACUGAUUCCUCCUUCCUGAAUAACCGUAAUACCAUUAAUUUGGUGUUGCGGGGAAACAGGACUGUUACUUUGAAAAAAUUAGAGUGUUUAAAGCAAGCUAACGCUUGAAUACAUUAGCAUGGAAUAAUGAAAUAGGACGAUCGAUCCUAUUUUGUUGGUUUCUAGGAUUGACGUA